CGAUGAGGUAGAGGUCGCGGUUGUUAAGAGUAGGAAGUGGAGAGCCAGAGAAUUGCUCAUGGAAACUUACCGAAAGGAACCACCGCCGAAGCUCCACAGAUGCUCUGUCUGUGUGGGCUGGGGCUGUUGCUGAAUAAGCGCAGAACUGUCACGUGUAUGCGAACCGGCAUGGCGUGUUGUGCUAUCUUUUCU
This 192-nucleotide non-coding RNA is filed under the name Paenibacillus selenitireducens. RNAcentral's name for it is "Lysine sequence". It matches the Rfam family "Lysine riboswitch aptamer". Rfam says of the family: Riboswitches are metabolite binding domains within certain messenger RNAs that serve as precision sensors for their corresponding targets. Allosteric rearrangement of mRNA structure is mediated by ligand binding, and this results in modulation of gene expression. This family includes riboswitches that sense lysine in a number of genes involved in lysine metabolism, including lysC. The record is from Rfam by way of RNAcentral. Lineage: Bacteria; Bacillati; Bacillota; Bacilli; Caryophanales; Paenibacillaceae.